GUCAUGCAGGAGAACUACGAGAAUGUGACCUCGCUGGUAGGGUUUCCAGUUUCCAAACCUGACGUGAUCUCCCAGCUGGAAUGGGAGGAGGAGCCGUGGGUCCCAGAUCUCCAGGGCUCAG
Non-coding RNA from Chelonoidis abingdonii (Abingdon island giant tortoise), 121 nucleotides. NCBI's taxonomy places the organism in Eukaryota, Metazoa, Chordata, Testudines, Testudinidae. The record is from RefSeq and is a predicted model, not a curated record.